GAUGAACGCUGGCGGCGUGCCUAAUACAUGCAAGUCGAGCGAACAGACGAGGAGCUUGCUCCUCUGACGUUAUCGGCGGACGGGUGAGUAACACGUGUAUAACCUACCUCUAAGACUGGUAUAACUUCGGGAUACCGUUUCUAAUACCGGAUAAUAUAUUGAUCCGCAUUGUUCAAUAGUGAUUUUCGGUUUUUCUGUCACUUAUAGAUUUUUCCGCGCCGCAUUAGCUAGUUGGUAAGGUAACGUCUUACAAAGGCAACGAUGCGUAGCCGAACUGAGAGGGUGAUCGGCCACACUGGAAGGGAGACACGGAACAGAGUACUACGGGAGGCAGCAGUAGGGAAUCAUACGCAAUGGGCGAAAGCAUGACGGAGCAAAGCCGCGUGAGAGAUGAAGGUCUUCGGAUCGUAAAAAUCUGUUAUUAGGGAAGAAAAAAUGUGUAAGUAAAAAUGGACGAAAGGACGGUACCUAAUCAGAAAGCAACGGCUAACUACGUG
This 497-nucleotide ribosomal RNA is filed under the name uncultured bacterium. Its description in RNAcentral is "partial 16S ribosomal RNA". It matches the Rfam family "Bacterial small subunit ribosomal RNA", at positions 28 to 507 of the family's 1533-position model. The record is from RNAcentral.